UCGUUGAUAGGCCGGGUGUGUAAGCGCAGCGAUGCGUUGAGCUAACCGGUACUAAUGAACCGUGAGGCUUAACCUUACAACGCCGAAG
This 88-nucleotide ribosomal RNA is filed under the name Salmonella enterica subsp. enterica serovar Worthington str. BCH-3194. RNAcentral's name for it is "partial 23S ribosomal RNA". The stretch from base 1 to 76 matches the Rfam family "Bacterial large subunit ribosomal RNA", at positions 2850 to 2925 of the family's 2925-position model. The record is from RNAcentral. Lineage: Bacteria; Pseudomonadati; Pseudomonadota; Gammaproteobacteria; Enterobacterales; Enterobacteriaceae.